AGUCGAACUUCGGGCUCUGUCAGCCGGUCCGCCUUCUUGGUGUGUACUUGUUUGACGGAGCCUUACCUCCUGGUGAACGGCGAUGUCCUUUACUGGGUGUCGUCGCAAACCAGGACUUUUACUUUGAAAAAAUUAGAGUGUUCAAAGCAGGCCUUUGCCCGAAUACAUUAGCAUGGAAUAAUAAAAUAGGACGCGCGUUCCCAUUUUGUUGGUUUCUGAGAUCGCCGUAAUGAUUAAUAGGGAUAGUUGGGGGCAUUUGUAUUCCGUCGUCAGAGGUGAAAUUCUUGGAUUGCCGGAAGACAAACUACUGCGAAAGCAUUUGCCAAGGAUGUUUUCAUUGAUCAAGAACGAAGGAAGGGGGAUCGAAAACGAUUAGAUACCGUUGUAGUCUCUUCUAUAAACUAUGCCAAUUGGGGAUCGGUACAGGAUUUUUAAUGACUGUAUCGGCACCCGAAGAGAAAUCUUUAAAUGAGGUUCGGGGGGGAGUAUGGUCGCAAGGCUGAAACUUACAGGAAUUGACGGAAGGGCACCACCAGGUGUGGAGCCUGCGGCUUAAUUUGACUCAACACGGGGAAACUCACCAGGUCCAGACACAAUAAGGAUUGACAGAUUGAUAGCUCUUUCUUGAUCUUGUGGUUGGUGGUGCAUGGCCGUUCUUAGUUGGUGGAGUGAUUUGUCUGGUUAAUUCCGAUAACGAACGAGACCUUAACCUGCUAAAUAGACCAGCCGGCUUUGGCUAGCUGCUGUCUUCUUAGAGGGACUAUCAGCGUUUAGCUGAUGGAAGUUUGAGGCAAUAACAGGUCUGUGAUGCCCUUAGAUGUUCUGGGCCGCACGCGCGCUACACUGACAGAGCCAGCGAGUCUACCACCUUUGCCGGAAGGCAUGGGUAAUCUUGUGAAACUCUGUCGUGAUGGGGAUAGAACAUUGCAAUUAUUGUUCUUCAACGAGGAAUACCUAGUAAGCGUGAUUCAUCA
RNAcentral lists this ribosomal RNA (974 nucleotides) under uncultured eukaryote. RNAcentral describes it as "SSU rRNA". It matches the Rfam family "Eukaryotic small subunit ribosomal RNA", at positions 632 to 1633 of the family's 1831-position model. The record is from RNAcentral.